UACAGAGACCUCAAGCGUUAUCCGGAAUCAUUGGGCGUAAAGCGUACCGAUAGGUGGUUUAUAAAGUCUUGGGUAAAAGCCGGAAGCUUAACUUCCGCGUUUGCUUAAGAUACUUAUAGACUAGAGGGGCAAAGAGGUGCUUGGAACCAACGGUGUAGUAGUGAAAUGCGUUGAUAUCGUUGGGAACACCGAAAGCGAAGGCAGAGCACUGGGUGCCACCUGACACUGCUAGGACGAAAGCGUGGGGAGCGAAUGGG
This 257-nucleotide ribosomal RNA is filed under the name uncultured bacterium. RNAcentral's name for it is "partial 16S ribosomal RNA". It matches the Rfam family "Bacterial small subunit ribosomal RNA", at positions 524 to 776 of the family's 1533-position model. The record is from RNAcentral.